UCACUGAAAACAGACUGUAUGGUCGCCACAACAUAGAACAUGAAUAAGAAACUCACCUUAACUUUGCGGCACAGAUUUAUUUUUCUCUUACAAGCCUCCUUUUAUUUUUUUUGUGCUACUUACAAUAAUUGUCAACCUAGACUAGUUAGAGGAGUGGGCUUGUGUAGCUUAAACAGAUUUUUUUUUCUUAAUCAAUUUUUUAAUUUGUAGCAGUGUUAGUUCACUUGGGGUUCCCAAGAGCCCAAGUAGAAGGCAGUUGGACUUUUAAAAUUUUUUUAAUGUGUUUCACCUCUGAUCCAAAAGGCUUCUUCAGAUCUGAAUAUGAUUGGAAGUAACAGGUGUAAAAUCAGAAUAAUCACACAAUAAUGACAAUGAUAUUAGUGACUUUGGUAGUUAAAAUCACUAAUGGAGCAAUUGGAAAAUGGGAGUGGAUGUUGGAAAAUUAAAUAUCAUCAUCUGGCAACAUCCUCUGUUUAAUGUCUGAAGCAUAUGUGCUUCAGAUCUACUCCAGCAUUCCACUCUGGUAAGACCAGAGUUGAUGAAAUACUGAAGGUCAAUAGAUUGAGUUGAUGUUUGAGUGUGGAAGGCUUCUUUUAUUUAGAACAAAAUACUAUUUUUUUUUCCAUAUAGAGAGGUAAGCUCAGACCUAUUCACACACCUUGCAAGUUUUUGUAUUUGAGGCCUAUUUCAUGAGUUUAUUUUUUAAGAUAAUUCUGUUGAAGUAUGUUUGAAUGUCUGACUUUUAUUUGUUUAUUUUCAUAGAAGUUUCAUUCAUUAUUACUCUUCCUUUGUCAGAUUCAAGUUAUUUCUGUGACCAUUGUGGGUUUUUCUUUCAUUAACCGAGGGGUACCUGUAAUUUUGUCCACAUGUAAAUCCCGCAAGGCCGACAUUUAUUGAUUUAUUGAUGCUCUGAAGGAACAAACUGAAGAAAGUAAUAAAAGUAACAUUUUUGAUAA
This is a long non-coding RNA of Xiphophorus hellerii (green swordtail), 956 nucleotides long. RefSeq lists it as uncharacterized. NCBI's taxonomy places the organism in Eukaryota, Metazoa, Chordata, Actinopteri, Cyprinodontiformes, Poeciliidae. The record is from RefSeq and is a predicted model, not a curated record. The transcript has 2 exons.